Oncorhynchus tshawytscha (Chinook salmon) is the source of this 445-nucleotide long non-coding RNA. The record is from Ensembl. Lineage: Eukaryota; Metazoa; Chordata; Actinopteri; Salmoniformes; Salmonidae.
GGAGACUAUAUACAGGGGGUACCGGUACAGAGUCAAUGUGGAGACUAUAUACAGGGGGUACCGGUACAGAGUCAAUGUGGAGGCUAUAUACAGGGGGUACCGGUACAGAGUCAAUGUGGAGGCUAUAUACAGGGGGUACCAGUACAGAGUCAAUGUGGAGGCUAUAUACAGGGGGUACCGGUACAGAGUCAAUGUGGAGACUAUAUACAGGGGGUACCGGUACAGAGUCAAUGUGGAGGCUAUAUACAGGGGGUACCAGUACAGAGUUAAUGUGGAGGCUGAAUACAGGAGGUACCGGUACAGAGUUAAUGUGGAGACUAUAUACAGGAGGUACCGGUACAGAGUUAAUGUGGAGACUAUAUACAGGAGGUACCAGUACAGAGUCAAUGUGGAGGCUAUAUACAGGGGGUACCGGUACAGAGUCAAUGUGGAGGCUAUAUACAGG